CCAGGCGCGAAAACUUUACAAUGCUGGAAACGGUGAUAAGGGAACCCCGAGUGCCAGGAUACUAAGGCUGGCUGUUCUGAUGACUAAACAGCUUAGCAAAGGACGGGGCGGGAAAGAUGGGUGCCGCCCCCCGCGUAAACACCGGCCGAUCGAGGGGCACCCGUUAUUAUUGGAUCUAAAGGGUCUGUAGCCGGUCGGGUAACUCUCUAGGGAAAUCUGGUAACUUAACUGGCAUGCUUUCAAGACAUACUGACUGGCUCCAGGCCAAGAGAAGUGAGACGUACUUCAUGGGAAGGGGUGAAAUCUUGUAAUCCUUGAAGGACCACCAGUGACGAAGGCUCUCUCACCAGAACUCGCACACUGACAGGGAGGGACGAAAGCUGAGGGCAACCAACCGGAUUACAUACGCCGGGUACUCCCAGCCGUAAACCAUACUCAGCUAGGUGUCGGCACCCGAGCCACCGUGGUCCGUGACCAUAAGGAAGCCGUGAAGCCAGCCGCCUGGGAAGUACGGCCGCGAGACUGAAACUUAAAUGAAUUGGCGAGGGAACAC
Molecule: ribosomal RNA, 553 nt
Filed under: uncultured archaeon
Lineage: Archaea
Description: bacterial SSU rRNA
Rfam family: Archaeal small subunit ribosomal RNA
Source: RNAcentral